GAUGAAUUCAGAUAGCCUCUACGAUCUGUCAUCUAUGAAGGCACAACUCCCUGUCAAGAAAGGAUUAUCCAAAUACUACGACGGAAAGUCUCAAUCUUUUGCAUGUAUGUCUGAGGUGAGAUGCCUAGAGGAUCUACGCAAGAAGGAGAAUCCAUACAAGAAGAUCAAAUCAUCCAAGAGCUAUGUAGCACUGGAUGGGAACCAGGAAGCUUGUCAUAUACCUGGC
RNAcentral lists this unclassified non-coding RNA (226 nucleotides) under Hevea brasiliensis (rubber tree). Lineage: Eukaryota; Viridiplantae; Streptophyta; Magnoliopsida; Malpighiales; Euphorbiaceae. The record is from RNAcentral.